CAACAACAGAGGGAGCCAGCAGGCACACUAAAAGGAGUCAGAGACAACAUGGCUGACUGAGAAAUUUAAGCAGAGUGGUUUCGGGUCUCUCCUUCACAAGAAUGGCGUGGCCUCUCCUACACAAGAGGGAUGGAGUCACCAUUGGGUGAAUGGUUUCAAAGAACCUCAGCCACUGCUGUACCUCAGGGGCCGUGCCUUGCAGCCCCAGACAUGCUCCCUGUAUCUGAUGUCAGAUGCGGGGGUGUGUGUGAUUUCGCUCCCAAACAGGGCUGCACUGGCAAA
Hemicordylus capensis (graceful crag lizard) is the source of this 282-nucleotide long non-coding RNA. RefSeq lists it as uncharacterized. Lineage: Eukaryota; Metazoa; Chordata; Lepidosauria; Squamata; Cordylidae. The record is from RefSeq and is a predicted model, not a curated record. The transcript is spliced from 3 exons.